CCAAAAUACUAGUCCCCAUAAGAUCUCCAAAGUUAAGCAACAUUGAACCUUGUCAAUACCUAGAUGGGUGACUGCUUGUGAAUACCAGGUGCUGUA
This is a non-coding RNA of Acanthosepion pharaonis, 96 nucleotides long. The record is from the annotation of a GenBank genome assembly. Lineage: Eukaryota; Metazoa; Mollusca; Cephalopoda; Sepiida; Sepiidae.